GACGAACGCUGGCGGCGUGCUUAACACAUGCAAGUCGUACGGUAAGGCCCUUUCGGGGGUCCACGAGUGGCGAACGGGUGAGUAACACGUGAGUAACCUGCCCACAACUUUGGGAUAACGCUAGGAAACUGGUGCUAAUACUGGAUAUGUGCUCCUGCUGCAUGGUGGGGGUUGGAAAGCUCCGGCGGUUGUGGAUGGACUCGCGGCCUAUCAGCUUGUUGGUGGGGUAGUGGCCUACCAAGGCGGCGACGGGUAGCCGGCCUGGGAGGGUGACCGGCCACAUUGGGACUGGGAUACGGCCCAGACUCCUACGGGAGGCAGCAGGGGGGAAUAUUGCACAAUGGGCGCAAGCCUGAUGCAGCAACGCCGCGUGCGGGAUGACGGCCUUCGGGUUGUAAACCGCUUUCAGCAGGGACGAAGCUUUUUGUGACGGUACCUGCAGAAGAAGCACCGGCUAACUACGUG
This 465-nucleotide ribosomal RNA is filed under the name uncultured bacterium. Its description in RNAcentral is "partial 16S ribosomal RNA". It matches the Rfam family "Bacterial small subunit ribosomal RNA", at positions 28 to 507 of the family's 1533-position model. The record is from RNAcentral.